GUCUUUGUGGUGUAGUGGUCAGCACGCUCGACGCGCAUUCGAGAGAUCCGAGGUUCGAGUCCCGGCGAGGACA
Molecule: transfer RNA, 73 nt
Filed under: Stegodyphus dumicola
Lineage: Eukaryota; Metazoa; Arthropoda; Arachnida; Araneae; Eresidae
Description: tRNA-Ala
Rfam family: tRNA
About the family: Transfer RNA (tRNA) molecules are approximately 80 nucleotides in length. Their secondary structure includes four short double-helical elements and three loops (D, anti-codon, and T loops).
Source: RNAcentral